RNAcentral lists this unclassified non-coding RNA (226 nucleotides) under Melitaea cinxia (Glanville fritillary). Its description in RNAcentral is "misc RNA ENSMCXG00005009495.1". Lineage: Eukaryota; Metazoa; Arthropoda; Insecta; Lepidoptera; Nymphalidae. The record is from RNAcentral.
GUACGACAGUGCUAUUGCUGACACGGCCAACCCUGACAAUCGCACGACCUCGUGCGUCCAUGUCGUGCAUCCGCCAACUCGGCGUUACUCCUCCCGACCUAUACAACUGUAACGAGUGACAUUAAUAACUGUUCGGCUAUUCCUGACCAAAACGCUGAGACUGUAAUGCACUAGCGGGUCGGGCGUACUGGGCCCCUUCAUCCCUUCCUAACAUAACGUGCCCCGG